GGCGAGUGGCGAACGGGUGAGUAGAAUAUCGGAACGUGCCUAGUAGAGGGGGACAACGCAGCGAAAGUUGCGCUAAUACCGCAUACUAUCUACGGAAGAAAGUGGGGGACCUGAAAGGGCCUCACGCUAUUAGAGCGGCCGAUAACUGAUUAGCUAGUUGGGGAGGUAAAGGCUUCCCAAGGCGACGAUCAGUAGCUGGUCUGAGAGGACGACCAGCCACACUGGAACUGAGACACGGUCCAGACUCCUACGGGAGGCAGCAGUGGGGAAUUUUGGACAAUGGGCGCAAGCCUGAUCCAGCAAUGCCGCGUGAGUGAAGAAGGCCUUCGGGUUGUAAAGCUCUUUUGUCAGGGAAGAAACGGAUUGUCCUAAUAGGGCGAUUUAAUGACGGUACCUGAAGAAUAAGCACCGGCUAACUACGUGCCAGCAGCCGCGGUAAUACGUAGGGUGCAAGCGUUAAUCGGAAUUACUGGGCGUAAAGCGUGCGCAGGCGGUUAUAUAAGUCAGAUGUGAAAUCCCCGGGCUCAACCUGGGAAUGGCAUUUGAGACUGUAUAGCUAGAGUGUGUCAGAGGGGGGUAGAAUUCCACGUGUAGCAGUGAAAUGCGUAGAGAUGUGGAGGAACACCGAUGGCGAAGGCAGCCCCCUGGGAUAACACUGACGCUCAUGCACGAAAGCGUGGGGAGCAAACAGGAUUAGAUACCCUGGUAGUCCACGCCCUAAACGAUGUCGACUAGUUGUUGGGAUUUAAUAAUCUUAGUAACGCAGCUAACGCGAGAAGUCGACCGCCUGGGGAGUACGGUCGCAAGAUUAAAACUCAAAGGAAUUGACGGGGACCCGCACAAGCGGUGGAUGAUGUGGAUUAAUUCGAUGCAACGCGAAAAACCUUACCUACCCUUGACAUGGUGCGAAUUCUGCAGAGAUGUAGAAGUGCUCGCAAGAGAACGCACACACAGGUGCUGCAUGGCUGUCGUCAGCUCGUGUCGUGGGAUGUUGGGUUAAGUCCCGCAACGAGCGCAACCCUUGUCAUUAAUUGCCAUCAUUAAGUUGGGCACUUUAAUGAGACUGCCGGUGACAAACCGGAGGAAGGUGGGGAUGACGUCAAGUCCUCAUGGCCCUUAUGGGUAGGGCUUCACACGUCAUACAAUGGUACAUACAGAGGGAAGCCAAGCUGCGAAGCGGAGCCAAUCCCAGAAAGUGUAUCGUAGUCCGGAUUGGAGUCUGCAACUCGACUCCAUGAAGUUGGAAUCGCUAGUAAUCGCGGAUCAGCAUGUCGCGGUGAAUACGUUCCCGGGUUUUGNACACACCGCCCGUCACACCAUGGGAGCGGGUUUCACCAGAAGUAGGUAGCUUAAC
Molecule: ribosomal RNA, 1354 nt
Filed under: uncultured beta proteobacterium
Lineage: Bacteria; Pseudomonadati; Pseudomonadota; Betaproteobacteria
Description: 16S ribosomal RNA
Rfam family: Bacterial small subunit ribosomal RNA
Source: RNAcentral